GCGGCAGCAGGGUUGGGCUCUCGCCGUGAGUCGACGAAGGGAGCGCGGGCGCGCGCCCGCGUCCGCGCACUGAGAGUCGCCUCGGCCGCUCGCUUUCUCGACUCCCGCCUCGCGCCUCGAUCCUGUUCCGCCUCCCUCGGCCCUCCUGCCCGCCCCCACUCGUCGGCCCUCAGGUACCUAAAAUGUCUCAUUAUUCAUCAAUUAAUGAAAAACAAAUGAAAAUUUGAGAGAGAUAUUCUGAAGAAUAAAAGGAUCAAGUUGGGUCAUUUCUAAAAUCUCAGAGACCUAAUAGGAUGGGGUCUUAGAGAAACAUCUUUUGAGCCACAGACUUCUUUGUUACCAGAAGGAAAAUGAAAGAAGAAAUUUAAAUACCACUUGAAGAGAGGUGCUGCCCAGUUCAUGAGUGCUGCUGCUGUCCUGCCCAAGUACCCAGCUUGCAGAGUGCCAGAGUUAGAGUCCCAGGGGUGUUCUCCACAGCUGCAUGCUUGAUCCAGGCCUAUCAGCAUUGUCUUUGAAUAUUAGCAAAUAAUGGAACAUGGGCCAAGGGUGAACCAUGACGAAUUUGUGUUCCAGCAGCCCUGCUUCUUUAGAAUUGACAGUCUGGCUUCGUGGUUAAUUCACAGCAUCUGAGGAAUACAUCCAAAGAGGGUGAUACUGUGGCAUGAUGGUACCAGGAUUCCAAGUUCAUUCCAGAGAAGAUGGCAAGAUGCAGAGAGGAGGAGUCACGCCUGAAGCCACACAGCUGACAUCAGAGCCAAAGCAUGAGCCUCAGUCUCUCUGACCCAGAGCUACCACCCUUGCUGCCUUGGGAAGAAGGAAGCCCCCUCCUAUUCUAUCCUUGAGCUGCCUUGGCAAGGAGGGGCCCCUUGCUGCCGCCAUCCUCACAGGACACCAUCCACAUGAGGGGAUGGUGAGCUCCACUUCCACCUUUUCUACAUGUCUGCUCUUUAAACUGCACACGUUGAUUCAUUCAUUCAUUCAUUCAUUCAUUCCCUUGAUAUUACCAUUCAUUUAUUCAUCAAGUAUUUAUUGAGCAUAUUUAUCUGCAUGGCAUUGUGCUAAUCGUAAUCAUCAUAUUCACCACUGCUGAGCAGAACAGUCAGGGUGCUGCCCUCAGGGAGUUACCAUGUAGUAAAGGAGACAGAUGGAAUCACACAGAGGAAUGCACGUCUGAUUGUAGCCUGACUGGAGUGCCAUGAAGGAGACCAAGAGGGCAGGGUGAUGGAGAAAGCACAGGAUGAAGUUCUCGUCUUCCUUCCAACAGAAUCUCAGUUGCACUCAGUUGUUGCCCCCCUCGAACCUCCCUUGAGCCUCAGGAGAAACCACCCUGAUUCAGAGGUCCAGAGAAGACCUGACUAGCCCAAGGUAAUUCCGUCCCCUUGCCAGAGUGGCUUGGGCAGGGACACGGGACCUAUUUCAAUGAGGCCAAUGAGACAAAGGUAUUUCUGCUGGGGAGGCAGGGGCUUCAAGCAAAGGGUCUUGCUUGAAAGAGCCACCGGAAGAGGGCUCUCUCCUUCCUUAGGGUGUCACCGUGUCUGGAUGCGAUGCCUGGAAGUGCUACAGCCACUCGCGCCCAGCCUGAAGAUGAAACCAACCCCAAACACAGCCAAGCAGAGAGAUGGAAAGAACUAGGACCCUAAUUACACCACUGAGCAGCUAUAGCAACCAGUUCCAGAGCCCUCUGACUUCCCGCCAAAGUGAGAUGAUAAGAUACUGUUUAAUUUCUCUCUUUUAUAGCCAAACACACCAAAAUUGACACAGAGAUGUGAGCCAUACCUACUACUGUUACUGCUCCAUCCCUAGCUCCAACCACAGUGCAUGGUACAUGGUAGAGAGCCAACAAACACUUGAAGAAUGAAUGGUGCAUAUUGAGUGGGAUUUUCCAGAGGCAGACCUGGAGACAAGGCUUCAAGUGCGUGUGUUGUAUUAAGGAAAUGCUCCCAGGGGACAAUAGCAGAGUGGCAGAAAUGGGACAAGGGGGCCAGGGAGCCAAGAACAGAGAAUCAAUCGUCUAAACAGAGCCCCCUGUUUUUUGUUUCACCUGGGAGUAGCUUCUACCUGAUCCCCAGGGGAACUCUGGGAUGUCAGUGACGGCUCAGCAUUGCCCCUGAGGCAAGGGAGCUGGGCUUUCCUAAUCCCCCACUCCUCAGUCUCUGGCUAAGCGCUGUCCCCAGGGGACUUAAUCACCCAAACACUUCCCCAAGAGUGGCAUCUGCUGACCACUGGAGGCACUGGUACAGUGAAGCGACAGAAGGGAUCAGAGAGGGUCCAGGUGGAGCACAGCAAUGUGGCUGAAUAAUAACUAUAUUAAUUCAUAUAGUUAAUUCUCAAGCAAUGGCAAAGUGUAGGCAGCUUCUUGUCUGCAAACGUUUCCAUGAUAUCUCUCCUGCAGCCAGACGGGUCUUUUCCUGCCGCCUACACAGAAUGGCCAUGGAGCAUCCCCAAC
This is a long non-coding RNA of Homo sapiens (human), 2446 nucleotides long. The record is from Ensembl. Lineage: Eukaryota; Metazoa; Chordata; Mammalia; Primates; Hominidae.